Long non-coding RNA from Coccinella septempunctata (seven-spotted ladybird), 180 nucleotides. RefSeq lists it as uncharacterized. The record is from RefSeq and is a predicted model, not a curated record. NCBI's taxonomy places the organism in Eukaryota, Metazoa, Arthropoda, Insecta, Coleoptera, Coccinellidae. The transcript has 2 exons.
UAUGAUUUUUCCAUUGACUGGUUCUUCCUUGAAGAAUAAAGGAUUUCUUAGCCUGAGGAAGGCGAAAUAUAACGCCGAAACGUCGCUCUAGGAAUCCAAAGUGUUUUCAUCCAGUUCCUUAAACCGAGAAGUUAUCAAUUACUAAAUUCUGGAAGGAACGAGAACUAUCCACAAACAUAA